Ricinus communis (castor bean) is the source of this 2091-nucleotide RNA transcript. RefSeq lists it as uncharacterized. NCBI's taxonomy places the organism in Eukaryota, Viridiplantae, Streptophyta, Magnoliopsida, Malpighiales, Euphorbiaceae. The record is from RefSeq and is a predicted model, not a curated record. The transcript is spliced from 10 exons.
GAAAAAAUGGAUUAAAAAGUUAAAAGUGGUGAUUUGAUCUUUUCUAACAACUUCGAGCGUUAAAUUGAACCUUAUUCCUGGAUAUAUAAAAUGGCUAUUUGAAUUGGGUCUCUCUGGAUCUUUUAAUCUGCCGCGAAGAAAUCAAUCUCCGUUUUGUGCACAAAAAUCAAUCCGUGGGAAUUUUUUAAAGGGAAAGAAAGGGCUUCUGUGUUUAUAUUACAUUACUUUGUGCGAGUGUUAAGGGUUUUGUCUUGUGCUUUAGGGGUUCGAAGAAUUUUUAGUCCUCAAUGAGUCUGUCUCCGUUCAAGCAGGACAUCGAUGAGCUUAUAGAUGAGUUUGUUCAGGGUGAGUCUCCAACUUUUGCUGAAAUGAAGAAAGUUUGGCUUUCUAGAAAGUUCAGUUACAUCUUUGAGGCUAUGCCUUGUAACAAAUUGGCCUUGUUUAUGCAAUCAGUUUAUUCUCAUUCUAUUGGUUACAUGAUCAAUAGCAGUGCUUCUUUGUCUCAAAGACUGGGUGGAUUGUAUUGUCUUUACUGCCUCUAUGAGACUCAACCCUUCAAGCCUCCUUUCAAAAUUUAUCUCUCUCUUGGAGAGCUAAAGAAACUUAAGAACCUUGUGGUUGAUGCAAAAGAGCAGGGUGUGCAAGUUGUACCCGUUAUAGUCUCUAGAAUGUUGGAAAAGGACAUGUUUCUCUUUGGCUCUGUAGACUUAAAUGAGGGCUCUACUACUGAGUUAGUGGACCAACUCACACAGUUGCAGAAUGAUCGUGUUCAACAUGCAUAUAAGAAGUUAUUUCCCGAUACUCGCCUUAAACAGUUCCUCCACAUGGACUUGGAUAGCGAAUUUGAUUUUAAUGCAGUGACGAAAAUGUCAACAGAGUAUGCGGAGGCUAAGAAGCAAGCCAUUCAAGAGGCCAGCAAGGUGGUGGAUAUUGAGGACAUACAGCACAUAUCAGAUGAUAAGGUAUUAUUUGGAGAUGUAGUGAAGAACAUCAAAGGGAACUGGAAUGUCCAAAGAGAGGUGUUUUAUCAACAAACAGGGUUGAACCAGCAUCCUGCUCAAGAACAAGAGCAGCAACAUCAAGGGUAUGAAGAGAAAAAUGAGGAUGUUAAUGAUAAUGAUGACAAUUUUAGUCGUGAACUAGAAAUGCAACUAUACGAAGAAGAGCCACACGAAUAGAAGCAAGAGGAUGAGGAAUUUAUUGAUGAACUCAAAUUGCAAUUUGUUGUGAACCAGCAACAAAACCAUUAUUGAGGACUUGAUGAUGAGGAAUUUAGCCAUGAAAACAAAGAAGAUAGAAAAGUUAUUCUUUAGGCUGCAUAACCAUAUAUGGACUUGCGAUCAUCAUCAAUGAAGAUUUUUGCUUGUUUUGCUAGAGUUCGUUAAGCAAGACUUCACAUAGGUACUGCACGCGUUCAAUUUAUGGAAGAAAGCUAACACCUAAUUGGAUAGGAUUUUUGGUGGCAUUUGAUGUUUCCCUGCACUUCAGUGCUGCAGCUGUGGCUGCUUAGGAGACUGGUAUAGUGGAACCGCAAGGUCUUAAACAAACAGUAAUGGCGCGACGACUGAAGAUGAAGAUGGGUUCCUGGCUUCACAAGCUUAAAGAAGUUAGAGAAAAGGUUUAUAAAAGAAGUUUACUGUACUAAGAAAAGGAAUGAUUCUAGAAGUGUGCAAGAAUCUCCUUCCUCCCGGUCACCCCCCGAGGGAACAUCAAUCAAGUUUAACGUUGAUGCAUCUUUCUCAGAGGCAAAUAGGAAGUCAUGGCAGUGUGAUUGCUGGCAGAUUAAGCAGAGAUAAAUGCUAUCUCUCCUAGCAGGUGAAGCUUUAGCGUUGAAGGAAGGUUUAACUCUUGCCAAGACAUGGGCUGUGCAGAAGCCAUUUUUGAGUCUGAUUGCUCGUUGCUUGUUACUACUGUUAAUAUGACGAAUAGGGUGUUUUCCGUGGAAAAUUGAGGUUUUUAUUUACGACAUCUCUCUUGUCUGAGAAUGUUAAUUAUUUUGUCAAGCACAUUAGUAGAUCUGCGAACUCUGUAGCAGACUUUUUAGCCAGGAGAGCUUUAAUUGAUUCUUGCUGUUUAGAGUGAUUGUUUUAA